RNAcentral lists this microRNA precursor (107 nucleotides) under Picea abies (Norway spruce). RNAcentral describes it as "miR156e stem-loop (pab-MIR156e)". Its record names the gene pab-MIR156e. The record is from miRBase by way of RNAcentral. Lineage: Eukaryota; Viridiplantae; Streptophyta; Pinopsida; Pinales; Pinaceae.
GUUGGAUAAGGUGCUGACAGAAGAGAGUGGGCACACAUAACCCCUAGCAUUGUUUAUGUGUGGAGCGAUGCGUGCCCACCGUCUCUUGCUGUCAGCUCUCAACGGAC